GAUGAACGCUAGCUACAGGCUUAACACAUGCAAGUCGAGGGGAAACGGCAUUGAGUGCUUGCACUCUUUGGACGUCGACCGGCGCACGGGUGAGUAACGCGUAUCCAACCUUCCCAUUAUUGUGGGAUAACCUGCCGAAAGGCAGACUAAUACCGCAUAGUCUUCGAUGACGGCAUCAGAUUUGAAGUAAAGAUUUAUCGGUAAUGGAUGGGGAUGCGUCUGAUUAGCUUGUUGGCGGGGUAACGGCCCACCAAGGCGACGAUCAGUAGGGGUUCUGAGAGGAAGGUCCCCCACAUUGGAACUGAGACACGGUCCAAACUCCUACGGGAGGCAGCAGUGAGGAAUAUUGGUCAAUGGACGGAAGUCUGAACCAGCCAAGUAGCGUGCAGGAUGACGGCCCUAUGGGUUGUAAACUGCUUUUGUAUGGGGAUAAAGUUAGGGACGUGUCCCUAUUUGCAGGUACCAUACGAAUAAGGACCGGCUAAUUCCGUG
Molecule: ribosomal RNA, 492 nt
Filed under: uncultured bacterium
Lineage: Bacteria
Description: partial 16S ribosomal RNA
Rfam family: Bacterial small subunit ribosomal RNA
Source: RNAcentral